This 1030-nucleotide long non-coding RNA is filed under the name Phasianus colchicus (ring-necked pheasant). Its description in RNAcentral is "lncRNA (ENSPCLG00000000787.1)". The record is from RNAcentral. Lineage: Eukaryota; Metazoa; Chordata; Aves; Galliformes; Phasianidae.
AGCAACGUUAUCCGGUAAAGUCAUCAGUAAAAGAGAAUGAAGAAUUAGAAUCUCAUGUUUUGUGCUAUUAUAUGAAUAUUUUGUUCUCUGAAUACUCCUUGAUUGUUAAUGUAGUUAUGAAAUACAAAAGUAAAAUACUUCAAUUUUUAAUGAACCAACCUCAAGAACCUAAGCAAGAGAUUGAAGCAGGUCCAGUGUUCUUCUGCAACCAAUGGACCACAAAACUACUAACACAGAGCUACACAACUGCAAUCCAUUGGAAAGUGAUUUCCCCCUUCAAGUCAAAGAACAGGAAUUCUGAAGAGACAACUGUCAGUUUGAAAUAGAGAGUGAAUAGUAGUUUAAAAAAAAAAAACAACAACAACAAAAGUACAUUAAAAAGCUUAUUCACAGAAUUUCUAAUGGCUGGAGGGGGGUUAUUAAUUAUUGGAAACACAACAUUGAAAAAUGUUUACUAUAAAUUUGUAAUGAUUUUUUAACUGAGCAAAUGGAGAAAAUUAGAAAGUUGGAAUGUGAGAAAUCAGUAAAGAGAAAUGAAUCAGUGAAAGAGGUAAAGCAGCUUUGUAAAGGUUGUUCUAAAUCUAAACCGAACUUAACCACUAAACUGUUUCAAUGCAUAACCGGGGGAUUUCUGUGAGGAAUCUUCCUGUUGGCUAUCAAGCUAUACUGUAGGAGCCCCUGGGUUUCUGAAUUGCAGAUCUGUCCCAAGUUUUCAUCUAUUCUGUGUUUGUAAUGAAUGGAAACAUUAUUACAUCUAAUACUCAUUCUGGAGUAGGUAUUUGAUUAUUUGAUUUUAAAUGAAUUCUUAUACUGCACUUGUCAUCUUACCUGAGGAUCUUGACUAAGAUCAAACACUUGACUAACAUCUAUCAGGUACUGAUUGUUCUUUCAUCUUCUCUCCUAUAUGAAUAGUAUGUGUCAUGAAGUAUCUUUUUGAAGUUAUUUGUUGCCUGCUUUGACUUUUUUCCUUAACAUUUAAAUACUGCUGUGUGUUAAUUGUUAAAGGUGGCAAGGUUAAAUAAAUGUGCCC